CAGCCACAUCACGUUGAAACACCGAUUCUCGUACGAUCACCAAAGUUAAGCAAUAUCGAGCCUAGUGAGUACAUAGAUGGGUGACUGCAGAAGAAUACCAGGUGCUGUAGG
Molecule: non-coding RNA, 111 nt
Organism: Acanthosepion pharaonis
Lineage: Eukaryota; Metazoa; Mollusca; Cephalopoda; Sepiida; Sepiidae
Source: the annotation of a GenBank genome assembly